GGAUUUUCUGACAGUAUCAAAGGAGGAUUUAACUCUGAAAUGCUGCCAUGAAAAUCUCUCUCUCUCGCUCUCUCUAUAGUGUAGUCUUUCAAAAAGAAGCAUUAUGUGUCAGUAGAAGACAGUUACUGAGUGAAUAAGAAUGAACCCCUGGGGCUGGCCAGGUACUGCUGCUGAUAGGGGCAUAAAGAGUCACACUUUGCCCUUGGUUACACAGUUGUAAGCCUGGAGUUACUCUAUUAAGUCAAUGGAGUUAUUCUUGAUUUCCUCUGACUGACCGUCUGGAAGAACGUGAGUGGGAAAUUAUCCCUAUCUACUGGCAGAAAACAGAUGGAAUGAAAACAAACUGCAUGAAACUGAAUAAUUUCCAGUUGUCUCUGCAAAAUAACCUGCAAGGAACCUGGGACACUUGCGGAGGCUGACAGGCAUGGAAAGGUCAAAAUAAAGCAGGAGAGCUAUUUCAGCAUAUUCCUUCUGAACAAUUCCAUUUUAUGUGGUGGAUCUCUGGAAUCUCACUUUGCACACUGCAGUCCUCUGAAACAACUCAUGGCUUUUCAUUCCAUUCCACUGUGAAGACAGUUAAGUAUGUCUGAAUUUUCUCUAAGUGGAUUCACUUUAAGGAGAUGGUAACAUUAUUCCGGAUGAUU
Chrysemys picta bellii (western painted turtle) is the source of this 644-nucleotide long non-coding RNA. RefSeq lists it as uncharacterized. The record is from RefSeq and is a predicted model, not a curated record. Lineage: Eukaryota; Metazoa; Chordata; Testudines; Emydidae.